This 2055-nucleotide ribosomal RNA is filed under the name Dolichospermum circinale AWQC310F. Its description in RNAcentral is "bacterial LSU rRNA". It matches the Rfam family "Bacterial large subunit ribosomal RNA", at positions 3 to 2157 of the family's 2925-position model. The record is from RNAcentral. Lineage: Bacteria; Bacillati; Cyanobacteriota; Cyanophyceae; Nostocales; Aphanizomenonaceae.
UCAAGCUAAUAAGGGCUAAUGGUGGAUACCUAGGCACACAGAGGCGAAGAAGGACGUGGUUACCGACGAAAUGUUCCGGGGAGUUGGAAGCAAACGAAGAGCCGGAAAUAUCCGAAUGGGGCAACCCUAAAUACUACCUGUUGAAUAUAUAGACAGGAAAGAGCCAACCCAGCGAACUGAAACAUCUUAGUAGCUGGAGGAAGAGAAAUCAAAACAGAGAUUCCCUAAGUAGUGGUGAGCGAAAGGGGAAAAGCCUAAACCAACGAGUUUACUUGUUGGGGUAGUGGGACAGCGAUGUCGAAUCACUGAGACUAGACGAAACAGCUAAAUACUGUACCAGAGGGGGUGAAAGUCCCGUAGUUGAAAGUCAAAGGAUAGUAGCUGCAUCCCGAGUAGUACGGAGCACGAGGAAUUCCGUAUGAAUCAGCGAGGACCACCUCGUAAGGCUAAAUACUACUGUGUGACCGAUAGAGAACAAGUACCGCGAGGGAAAGGUGAAAAGAACCCCGGGAGGGGAGUGAAAUAGAACAUGAAACCAUAAGCUUACAAGCAGUGGGAGUCCGAUUAAACGGAUGACCGCGUGCCUGUUGAAGAAUGAGCCGGCGACUUAUAGGCACUGGUAGGUUAAAGCGAGAAUGCUGGAGCCAAAGGGAAACCGAGUCUGAAGAGGGCGAAAAUCAGUGUUUAUAGACCCGAACCCUGGUGAUCUAACCAUGUCCAGGAUGAAGCUUGGGUAACACCAAGUGGAGGUCCGAACCGACUGAUGUUGAAAAAUCAGCGGAUGAGGUGUGGUUAGGGGUGAAAUACCAAUCGAACCAGGAGCUAGCUGGUUCUCCCCGAAAUGUGUUGAGGCGCAGCGGUAAUGAUUAAAUCUGGGGGGUAAAGCACUGUUUCGGUGCGGGCUGGGAGACCGGUACCAAAUCGAGACAAACUCAGAAUACCCAGAGAACACAUUGCCAGUGAGACAGUGGGGGAUAAGCUUCAUUGUCAAGAGGGAAACAGCCCAGACCACCAGCUAAGGUCCCCAAAUCAUCACUAAGUGAUAAAGGAGGUGAGAAUGCCUAGACAACUAGGAGGUUUGCCUAGAAGCAGCCACCCUUGAAAGAGUGCGUAAUAGCUCACUAGUCAAGCGUUCUUGCGCCGAAAAUGAACGGGGCUAAGUGAUGUACCGAAGCUGUGGGAUUACUAAUCAUAAUCGGUAGGGGAGCGUUCCGUAGUAGGGAGAAGCAGUAGCGGCAAGCAGCUGUGGACGAAACGGAAGUGAGAAUGUCGGCUUGAGUAGCGCAAAUGUAUGUGAGAAUCAUACACCCCGAAACCCUAAGGGUUCCAGAGCCAGGUUCGUCCCCUCUGGGUUAGUCGGGACCUAAGGCGAGGCCGAAAGGCGUAGUCGAUGGACAAAGUGUCAAUAGUCACUUACUGUUCUGUGGGAGCAUAGGCAGGGACGCAUGAAAGAUAGCCAUACCCUAAUUGGUUUGGGAGGGGUUUACGAACUCCGAGUGGUGAAGGAAAGUGCCAAGAAAAGCUGUGUAUGUGAUGAAGAUAGAACACCCGUACCCGAAACCGACACAGGUAGGGAGGUUGAGAAUACCAAGGGGCGCGAGAUAACUCUCUCUAAGGAACUCGGCAAAAUGGCCCCGUAACUUCGGAAGAAGGGGUGCCCACCUCAGACGUGGGUCGCAGUGAAGAGAUCCAAGCGACUGUUUACCAAAAACACAGGUCUCCGCUAACUCGCAAGAGGACGUAUGGGGGCUGACGCCUGCCCAGUGCCGGAAGGUUAAGGAAGCUGGUUAGCGUUAGUGAAGCUGGCGACCGAAGCCCCGGUGAACGGCGGCCGUAACUAUAACGGUCCUAAGGUAGCGAAAUUCCUUGUCGGGUAAGUUCCGACCCGCACGAAAGGCGUAACGAUUUGGAUGGUGUCUCAGAGAGAGACUCGGCGAAAUAGGAAUGUCUGUGAAGAUACGGACUGCCUGCACCUGGACAGAAAGACCCUAUGAAGCUUUACUGUAGCCUGGAAUUGUGUUCGGGCUUGGCUUGCGCAGGAUAGGUGGGAAGCGA